RNAcentral lists this ribosomal RNA (372 nucleotides) under uncultured bacterium. RNAcentral describes it as "bacterial SSU rRNA". It matches the Rfam family "Bacterial small subunit ribosomal RNA", at positions 527 to 898 of the family's 1533-position model. The record is from RNAcentral.
AGAGGGUGCGAGCGUUAAUCGGAAUUACUGGGCGUAAAGCGCGCGUAGGCGGCUUUGCAAGCCGGAUGUGAAAUCCCCGGGCUUAACCUGGGAACUGCAUUCGGGACUGCAUUGCUAGAGUAUGGGAGAGGGAAGUGGAAUUUCAGGUGUAGCGGUGAAAUGCGUAGAUAUCUGAAGGAACAUCAGUGGCGAAAGCGACUUCCUGGACCAAUACUGACGCUCAUGUGCGAAAGCGUGGGGAGCAAACAGGAUUAGAUACCCUGGUAGUCCACGCCAUAAACGAUGAGAACUGGAUGUCGGGAGGGUCUGCCUCUCGGUGUCGUAGCUAACGCGUUAAGUUCUCCGCCUGGGGAGUACGGCCGCAAGGUUGAA